Molecule: long non-coding RNA, 1089 nt
Organism: Peromyscus eremicus (cactus mouse)
Lineage: Eukaryota; Metazoa; Chordata; Mammalia; Rodentia; Cricetidae
Exons: 2
Source: RefSeq, a predicted model, not a curated record
CACAGAGGUAAUAGCACAUUACAUAUCUGCCACUAAAGGUCUGACAGUAACUGAAUACUCAUGGAAAUAAGUAGAUAAUUUUAACACAAAUCUGUAAAAACUUUGGAAAAGUGGCAGUCAGAAUACUAAGGAGGCUGGAAAUUUUGAGAAAGGCAAGUUGAGCUGAGCUUAGACACAGGAGAUGUCAUCAACUGCUGUGAGGAAAGACAGUUUUCUAAAUUCAGACCUUGAAGAAGAAAAUCUCUUUGCUUCACCUUAGUAAGAAUUUCAUUUGUAAAUGUUCUUGUCAAUUGAAGCAGACAGAAGAGGACAAUGACAGAAUGCUUUAGCAAAGGAAUUUGGCAGAAGGAAAUGAGGCAGAGACAGUGGCUGGAGAAGCAGGGAUUCACCAUCUGUGUGGACGGGACUCCCUUCAAGAUCAUAAAUCUCUCACCAUUUCAUCAUUGGAGAAGGCCAUCUACCCUGUGUAUUCAACUCAACCUUCCCAGUUGCAAAGAUGAAAUAAGUUGUAAAAUGAAUGGGAAUGUCUUCAAAUGCAUCUGAAUUAAAUUGAGCCAAAGAAAUGAUAUAUUAGGGAAAGAAAGGUAGAGAGGAGAGGGAGAGAGAGAGAGAGAGAGAGAGAGAGAGAGAGAGAGAGAGAGAGAGAGAGAGAGAGAGAGAGAGAGAGAAAUAUCAACUUUAGCUUAUUACAAAAUUACUUCUUCACAUUGCAGUCCAUACCUCUCUGAGGUAGUGUGUGAAGAAUUUGAGGCAGAGAAAGAAGCCUGCCCAUAGGACACCAAGUGAGAGGCAGAGUGGUAGGUACCCCCUUAAGAACACAAGAUAGGCAGAGAAUAUUUCUGAUUUUGGAGAGAAGAACCCCACCUACACCCCGAAAUCUAAGGGAUAUUUCUCUGGCUUACUUUGUAAAAGAAAGCACAUGUGACCACAGUGAGUUUUCUUUAGGCUCAUAGAAGCUUUGACAAUUUUCUAAUAGUCUUGUUAAAAACACUGUUGAGAAUGUACGUUUCUGUAAAGAGCAAUUUUAAGAGCUAUACAGUGAAACUUGGUAUUCAUUCUAUUAAAAUGAAUCUUGUCUUAUUGAAGCCA